UACGUAGGGUGCGAGCGUUGUCCGGAAUUAUUGGGCGUAAAGGGCUCGUAGGCGGUUUGUCGCGUCGGGAGUGAAAACAUCCAGCUUAACUGGGUGCUUGCUUUCGAUACGGGCAGACUUGAGGUAUGCAGGGCAGAAUGGAAUUCCUGGUGUAGCGGUGAAAUGCGCAGAUAUCAGGAGGAACACCGGUGGCGAAGGCGGUUCUCUGGGCAUUACCUGACGCUGAGGAGCGAAAGUGUGGGGAGCGAACAGG
RNAcentral lists this ribosomal RNA (253 nucleotides) under uncultured bacterium. RNAcentral's name for it is "partial 16S ribosomal RNA". It matches the Rfam family "Bacterial small subunit ribosomal RNA", at positions 524 to 776 of the family's 1533-position model. The record is from RNAcentral.